Molecule: ribosomal RNA, 407 nt
Filed under: uncultured bacterium
Lineage: Bacteria
Description: partial 16S ribosomal RNA
Rfam family: Bacterial small subunit ribosomal RNA
Source: RNAcentral
AUUGAACGCUGGCGGCAGGCCUAACACAUGCAAGUCGAGCGGAGCGGCGGAAGGGUGCGUAAUGCCUAGGAAUCUGCCAGGGAGUGGGGGAUAACGUCCAGAAAUGGGAGCUAAUAUAACAAACUCUCAGAUGAGCCUAGGUCGGUUUAGCUUGUGGGUGGGGUAAAGGCCGACCAAGGCGACGAUCCGUAACGGGUCUGAGAGGAUGAUCAGUCACACUGGAACUGAGACACGGUCCAGACUCCUACGGGAGGCAGCAGUGGGGAAUAUGGGACAAUGGGCGAAAUCCUGAUCCAGCCAUGCCGCGUGUGUGAAGAAGGUCUUCGGAUUGUAAAGCCCUUUAAGUUGGGAGGCGUUACCAACAGAAUAAGCACCGGCUAACUUCGUGCCAGCAGCCGCGGUAAUAC